Molecule: long non-coding RNA, 1737 nt
Organism: Homo sapiens (human)
Lineage: Eukaryota; Metazoa; Chordata; Mammalia; Primates; Hominidae
Source: Ensembl
ACUGAGGAUUGGGGGUCUUUGGAGCUCUUGGACCUGAAGAACGAUUAAGUUUUUCUCCCUUCAGAGAGCCAAGAGAUGGGGUCUUGCUGUGUUGCCCAGGGUGGAGUGCAGUGGCUAUUCACAGGUGUGAUCAUAGCUACUAUAGCCUCAAACCCUGGGUUCAAGUGAGUCCUUUGAACUAGAACAUUGGCCUUUUCUGGUUCUGCAGAAGCUUCCAGCCUUCAGAUUUGAACUGGGACACUGGCUCUGCAGAUUUUGGACUUGCCAGCCUUCAUAAUUGUAACCUACACUCCUGUCAUUUGUGGAAUGAUUGCUGGAGCCAGAGGCCAGGAAGAAGUUCAUGAGCCUGAGAGAAAAAGCAAGGAUUUCCAGUUCUACCCUACUGAAGUUCAGCUGUCAAACCAAGGGCCCAGACAGGUCUGAUGGGCCUGGGCAGGGUGUGGCCUGGACAGGUCUGAUGGCUGUUCCCUAAUGGAUAUUUCCCUUGGAGAAGUGAUGAGGAAGUGUGAGCGGAGCUCACUUCAAUUGGCUGAUUACCCUGUUAUACCAUGGUUGUGCACUAGUGGAAGCGGGACGUCUCUGGAGGGGUGUGUCAGCAUGUACCUACAACAGCGGCAGUGAUGGCAGCCAGCUGGGACCUGAAACACAGAGGGACCCUGAGGCCAGUACUCACGGUGCCUGCGUAGUGAACCAGCUCGAAGUGGACCUCGGGCCCCUUGCUCUUGCCCCCCUUGGGCUUCAGGAAGUUGCUGGACUUGCCCAGGUGGUUGUCGUACAGGGCUGCCUUGAACGUGGCAUCGGUGGCUUUGGGGAAGACGCACUGUUCCUCCAAGAUGGAGAAGAUGCCCAUGGGCUGGGAAGGAAGAGAACAGGGUGAUGUUAGAGGAGGUGGCAGGACCCAAAAGAGGACAAACUGGUACUGAGCCCAGGGCCAGUGUAGAGAUGCACCAGACACCCACGUGGGCAUCCAGGAAGCAGGACUCUGUGCAGUGACAUCUGGGAACAGUGCCUGGUGCUCCAUGACCUUGUCAUCAAACACCAUGGCCAUUAAGACUUGAAAGAGGCUGAAAUCAUCGAGUCCAACAGAAGGGAAGACUGAGAUCUGAAGGGGCCAGAUAGCUCCCCAAAUGCUAAUCCCACCUAAACAGUGGCCCCUGGCAAGCUUGGCCUUCUGAAAAAUGGGGAAGUCAAUGCCACCUGUGCUCUCUGCUUUUUUUUUUUAAUUUAAUUUAUUUAUUUUGAGACAGAGUCUCGCUCUGUCGCCCAGGCUGGAGUGCAGUGGCACAAUCUCGGCUCACUGCAACCUCCGCCUUCCAUGUUCAAGUGAUUCUCCUCCCUCAGCCUCCUGAGUAGCUGGGAUUACAGGUGCCCGCCACCACACCUGGCUAAUUUUUGUAUUAGAGAUGAGGUUUCACCAUGUUGGCCAGGCUGGUCUCAAAACUCCUGACCUCAGGUGAUCCACCCACCUCAGCCUCCCAAAUUGCUGGGAUUACAGGUGUGAACCACCAUGCCUGGCCACAACACACAUUCUUGAAGGGGACCAUUUGCUAAAACCUUCCAUGUGGAUGUGGUUAUAGGUAAAACUAUUAUAUUGCCUGGGUCAGAGCGUGACUCUGCCACUCACAGGUUGUGGGACAUUGGACAAGGAAGUUCCCUUCUCUGUGCCUCAAUGUUCCCAUCUCUGUGCCUCAAUGUUCCCAUCUGUGAAAUGGGUGUAAUAAAAGUAUCCCCUCCCCC